AGGAUUCGUCCAAUUGAAGCAGAGGACAGUGGCGGACGGGUGAGUAACGCGUGAGGAACCUGCCUUUCAGAGGGGGACAACAGUUGGAAACGACUGCUAAUACCGCAUGACGCAUGACCGGGGCAUCCCUGACAUGCCAAAGAUUUAUCGCUGAAAGAUGGCCACGCGUCCGAUUAGAUAGUUGGCGGGGUAACGGCCCACCAAGUCGACGAUCGGUAGCCGGACUGAGAGGUUGGCCGGCCACAUUGGGACUGAGACACGGCCCAAACUCC
RNAcentral lists this ribosomal RNA (272 nucleotides) under uncultured Oscillospiraceae bacterium. RNAcentral's name for it is "partial 16S ribosomal RNA". It matches the Rfam family "Bacterial small subunit ribosomal RNA", at positions 71 to 339 of the family's 1533-position model. Lineage: Bacteria; Bacillati; Bacillota; Clostridia; Eubacteriales; Oscillospiraceae. The record is from RNAcentral.